GGGGGGGGGGGGGGGGGGGGCGGGUGCGGGGGGGUAGGGGGCGGGGGGUAGGGAGGAGCUUGCUACCCCAUGGAGUGGGGGUUGCGACGGGGUGAGUAACGCGUCGGUAACCUGCCUGGUAGCUGGGGAUAACGAGUGGGAACGCUCGCUGAUACCGCAUAGUAUUACUGCUUGCGUGCUACAUAAUUGAAAGCUGCACUUGCACCACAGCAAGAUGACCCUUCGUUCUAUUAGUGGGUAGGUGAGGUAACGGCUUACCUAGGCGACGAUACAUAGACGCCCUGAGAGGGUGAUCGGCCACACUGGGACUGAGACACGGCCCAGACUCCUACGGGAGGCAGCAGUAGGGAAUCUUCGGCAAUGGACGAAAGUCUGACCGAGCAACGCCGCGUGAGUGAAGAAGGUUUUCGGAUCGUAAAGCUCUGUUGUAAGAGAAGAACGGGUGUGAGAGUGGAAAGUUCACACUGUGACGGUAGCUUACCAGAAAGGGACGGCUAACUACGUG
This 505-nucleotide ribosomal RNA is filed under the name uncultured bacterium. RNAcentral describes it as "partial 16S ribosomal RNA". It matches the Rfam family "Bacterial small subunit ribosomal RNA", at positions 38 to 507 of the family's 1533-position model. The record is from RNAcentral.